UUGAAGGCACUGAAGAACAAAGUGCUCCGCUUAGUCACUGAACAACUUUGGUUCAGGCAAUGGUAGUGCAAAUUCGUCUACACUUCCCUGCUGAUGUGCUUUGACCCUGACCCAGAAUGAUCUUUAUGGCUGAUGGGGUAGUUUAAUUUUCAUGGUCAUUCAGUCUUUGGCCUCU
This 175-nucleotide small RNA is filed under the name Crocodylus porosus (Australian saltwater crocodile). Its description in RNAcentral is "TUC338 (ENSCPRG00005018912.1)". Lineage: Eukaryota; Metazoa; Chordata; Crocodylia; Crocodylidae. The record is from RNAcentral.